This is a long non-coding RNA of Hyla sarda, 485 nucleotides long. RefSeq lists it as uncharacterized. The record is from RefSeq and is a predicted model, not a curated record. The transcript is spliced from 3 exons. Lineage: Eukaryota; Metazoa; Chordata; Amphibia; Anura; Hylidae.
CAAAGUUGGUAAGGAUGCAAAUUUUCACUCAAGACAAACCUUGGGCAAAUAUAUGUGACUUUUCUAUACCAUUCUAUGGUCCCCUGAGUAUUAAUGAGAUGAAACAUUAACAUAAGAAAAAUAAAAGUACCGUCAUAAGGUUCCAGCAAAAUGAAGUAAAGGAUGGAGCAAUGCCUAAUACAUCAGAUUGUUGAGAAAUUCAAGAUGGAUCAAGACGGAAAACAACACGUACAGUUUCUUACUUUGGGGAAAACUAACGUGGUCUAAGACAUCUUGUCUAGCUGGACUUGAGUAUAGACUCAGGAAUACGGCUUUGUGCUCGAGCCCCUAUUCUCAGUUGACAAUAAAAUAUUGAACAUAAGAAUAUUUUCAGUAAUGGUAUGGAGGCAACGUAUUCACCGAGAGCCGCUGUCUGCACAAAAUAUGGUUCAUUACGAAGCCGGAAAAACAAAGUAAUUCUAUGAAUGAAGCGAAUAAAAAUCGGA